Molecule: ribosomal RNA, 254 nt
Filed under: uncultured bacterium
Lineage: Bacteria
Description: partial 16S ribosomal RNA
Rfam family: Bacterial small subunit ribosomal RNA
Source: RNAcentral
UACGUAGGGGGGCGAGCGUUGUCCGGAUUUAUUGGGCGUAAAGAGCUCGUAGGCGGCUUGGCAAGUCGGGUGUGAAACCUCCAGCUCAACCUGGAGACGCCACUCGAUACUGCCAUGGCUAGAGUCCGGUAGGGGACCACGGAAUUCCUGGUGUAGCGGUGAAAUGCGCAGAUAUCAGGAGGAACACCGGUGGCGAAGGCGGUGGUCUGGGCCGGCACUGACGCUGAGGAGCGAAAGCGUGGGUAGCAAACAGG